Long non-coding RNA from Topomyia yanbarensis, 1260 nucleotides. RefSeq lists it as uncharacterized. The transcript is spliced from 3 exons. Lineage: Eukaryota; Metazoa; Arthropoda; Insecta; Diptera; Culicidae. The record is from RefSeq and is a predicted model, not a curated record.
AGGAUGACUGUGCUUGUUUAUUUCAGGUAAAGCCAAAAAACCAUCGCACAAUGUAUGCUGCUGGCCAUCUGAAUUACCAAGUCACCUUCCAGCUUCGAUGCAGAACAAACAAAAUACACAGCUAAAUAAAGUGAAAUAAUGCAAAGUUUGUGUUUUAUUCAGCCUGGUUUUAAGUGCUUUGCUGGCCAGAUUCCCAGUUUUUUCCGGAAAGAUCUUCCAGUUCAUAGGAACUCGUUCCUAUUUUGGAAACUAUUUUGCAUGGGAGAUAUUGCUGCCCAUAUUUUGCAUUAUAGUACUCUCCCGCGUUUGAAAGUUUCAUGUUCCUUCUAAAAACUAAUUGGCCGGCCGUAAACGCUUUGGCAAAUUGCCGGUACCGAAGAUUAUAUUGUUUACGAGAAGAUUCAUGGGCUUUGGUCAGAUUUUGGAUGACCUUUCCGGAGCCAAUUGCCCCCGCCGGGCAAACGUAAGUAAUUAGUUACAAAUGGCGCCCAACGUUAAAUGAAUUUAAAAAAGGUUUUCAACUUUUGGCCAAAUUUGAACACCUUUUUAAGUAAGCUCCGGGAGGAAUUGCAAUUAAUUAAAUUAAUUUCAAUUUUUAUGAAACAGAUUUCUCAUUUACUAUCAUUUUACAUUUCUUAUAAAAGAAAUGUAUAGAAUUCGCUCAAACUUUCAAGAUUUUUUCCGAGGCCCGGAGGGCCGAGUCUUAUAUACCAAUCGACUCAGCUCGACGAUUUGGGACAAUGUCUGUGUGUGUGUGUGUGUGUGUGUGUGUGUGUGUGUCUGUGUGUGUGUGUAUGUAACGGACAAAUUCUCAUUCGUGUUUCUCAGCAAUGGCUGAACCGAUCUUAUCCAAACCAAUUUUAAAUGAAAGAACUAAAAAACAGUAUGAACGCUAUUAAUUUGUUUUUCAUUCUGAUGUUUAGUUUCCAAGAUAUGAAUGUUUGAAUGCGUAAAAAUGGCGUUUUUCGCAGUUUUUUUAAAUUAUCUGCCGAAAUUGACUAUAUAGAUUAACAAUUUAUAUGUUUUUAGAUAGCUUUAACGAAUACCUUUCUAUCAAGCUAUAGAUUGUUGAAAUCGGACUAUUAUCAAAAAAGAUAUUGAACAUUAAAUGCGGACGAAAGAUUUUUAUCAUUUCCCAUUGCCAGAAAUAUGACCAAAAACAUGUAAUCUAUUAUUAACGCCAAAACGGCUUAUUUUAGGUCAAUAGUAUCUUCGUAGAAUAUAAUGUAGGCAAUAUGCCCUUUGUUUUGGUAUUGUGCU